GCCUGGGUGGCUCAGUCGGUUGAGCAUCUGACUUCGGCUCAGGUCACCAUCUCGCGGUUUGUGGGUUGGAACCCCGUGUCGGGCC
RNAcentral lists this transfer RNA (85 nucleotides) under Felis catus (domestic cat). It matches the Rfam family "tRNA". Rfam says of the family: Transfer RNA (tRNA) molecules are approximately 80 nucleotides in length. Their secondary structure includes four short double-helical elements and three loops (D, anti-codon, and T loops). The record is from Rfam by way of RNAcentral. Lineage: Eukaryota; Metazoa; Chordata; Mammalia; Carnivora; Felidae.